GUGAUAUGUCAUCAAUACUGCUGCUGUUGCAUCUCCUUUCUCCAACAUCAAGGAGCCAAAAGAAGACUGCAAAAAUGAGUGCCAAUCAAACUCCUGACUGUCUGGUUGGGACCAGUUUGGAAAACCAUCUUGAACACACUGAGGGCUGUGAUCAACCAUGCUUGCUGGCUGAUGUGUGCGCAUGAAAAAACACCACCCACAAAUGCUUCAUAGUCAUCGACAAGAAAGCCGUUCCAUGUAAGGCUCUAAGUUCAGUUGCUGCUUUUGACAAACUGUUCAAGGCACACUGUCUUCAGUGUAUAUUACAAUGAAUCUUUAUCUUGUCUGUACACAUUCAUCCAAACUACCAUCUACAACACAGAUGUUGGAAAUGCAAAAGAAAACCCACGAGGCAGAGAACUUGGAGCAAGAUUGUUACACAGAAAAAUCAGAAUAGAGAAAUUUUGAAAAGAUUUUCUGCUUACGAGACCAAAAAUAUUGAUUUGUUUUGUUUGUAAAUCAUACCACAAAAGUAGCAAUUCCCAUAGCAAACAUAUUACAUUAAAAGACGGUUUGUUUCCUGGAAAACUAUUGAGUCUCAAACGUGAACAGUUAGGGUUUUCUCUUGUUUGUCACAUUUUUAAUCUAGUGGAUUAAAAAUGGACGAUGACAGAGAAGAUUUGGGCUUGAAUGCUAUUCAAACUUGGUGCUUGCUAUGCAAUGUUCCUCUAAUGUUUGGAGAUCUUGUUGAACAAAAUGACAAAUAUUGGAACCUACUGCAGCUACUACAACUGAUUUUUGUUGAUGUUGUUUUCUCCCCAAUUAUAAUCGAUAGUAUGACUUAUUUAAAGCAUUUCAUUUGCCAUCAUCACAACAUGUUAAAAGACUUGUUUCCAGAUAGGAAUUUACUACCCAAACACCACAUUGUUAUUCACUACCCACAGUGCAUUUGGAAGAUAGGAUCAUUGCUACAUAGGUAGUGUAUGGGAUUUGAAGCCUAACAUAAUUUUUUUUAAGAAUUUCAAAAACAUUGGUAAAGAAACAUCAGGCUUAUGUAGUAUACCAAUGGGAAAAUUUCAUCUUUCAUAGAUUUGAAUUUGGUCUGAAUUACUAAGUGGAAUGCAGGGAUGUUUAGUUAUUGCUGAAAAAUUAAAUGUAAAGUAUUUAUUCUGAUAUUUUCACAACAAAGUGGGCGAAGUGUUAUGGAACAGAGUAUCACAAAGGCUUGUUUGUGUGGCACUAGCUUUAUAGUUAAAGAGGAAAAGGCUGUUUACUAAUCAGCAAUAUUGUGUCUUUAUUUUGAUGAGCACUUCAAUGCUUUUAGGAUGGAGGAGAAAACAGCAGACAUACUUUAUGUAUUUGAGGUGGAUGAUCGUGUGUACUACAAACCAUUUGAUAGACAGUUUUCAUAUGGAUCAGGGGACAUUGGGUAUUAUAGUCCCACAUUGCCAUGUAAUCUGAACAUAUCUAAACGCAUGUUUGAUUUGUGUUUUUUGUGUUAUCAGAGGAACAAGCCUUUUUAGUAACUUGAUAUUGUGAACAUUUCUUUAUGGGACCUAUUCUGACUUAACUGGUGCUGCAUAAGUAUUUAUGCGUUGUAGAUUAACCAUGUAUGGGGAAAACGAGAGCACUUAUGUGGCAUGUAAAUGGAGUCAGAAUAGGGCCCUGUAUGGCGGCUAAAAUGCUUUUAGGAUUGAGAAAUGGUCUGUAUUUGUGCUGGGUCAUUUUAAACACUGCAGGCCAUUUGACAGUUAAAUAUUGUGGUUUAAUAAUAUGUAUAACCAGGUAGAUUCCCAGCUGAUCUAAACAUAUCUGCAAUGAUUUGUAUUGGUGUUAUUGGUUUGUGAAAGGAAACCCUUUGCAUAAUGGAAUCCUAAUUGUAUGGGUCUGUAUGAUUUUGUUUUGUACAUGCUUGGGAGUUCAAAGAGGCAAAUGUAACCUGUUGGAUUGUUAAAUAAAGCAAUAUGUUGACUGUU
Molecule: long non-coding RNA, 1955 nt
Organism: Acipenser ruthenus (sterlet)
Lineage: Eukaryota; Metazoa; Chordata; Actinopteri; Acipenseriformes; Acipenseridae
Exons: 2
Source: RefSeq, a predicted model, not a curated record